RNAcentral lists this ribosomal RNA (433 nucleotides) under uncultured bacterium. RNAcentral describes it as "partial 16S ribosomal RNA". It matches the Rfam family "Bacterial small subunit ribosomal RNA", at positions 29 to 507 of the family's 1533-position model. The record is from RNAcentral.
AACGAACGCUGGCGGCAUGCCUAACACAUGCAAGUCGAACGAGACCUUCGGGUCUAGUGGCGCACGGGUGCGUAACGCGUGGGAACCUGCCCUUAGGUUCGGAAUAACUCUCCGAAAGGGGUGCUAAUACCGGAUAAUGUCUUCGGACCAAAGAUUGAUCGCCUUUGGAUGAGCCCGCGUUGGUUUAGCUUGUUGGUAGGGUAAAAGCCUACCAAGGCGACGAUCCAUAGCUGGUCUGAGAGGAUGAUCAGCCACACUGGGACUGAGACACGGCCCAGACUACUACGGGAGGCAGCAGUGGGGAAUAUUGGAAAAUGGGCGAAAUGCUGAUCCAGCAAUGCCGCGUGAGUGAUGAAGGCGUUAGGGUUGUAAAGCUCUUCUACCCGGGAUGAUAAUGACAGUACCGGGAGAAUAAGCUCCGGCUAACUCCGUG